This 484-nucleotide ribosomal RNA is filed under the name uncultured bacterium. RNAcentral describes it as "bacterial SSU rRNA". It matches the Rfam family "Bacterial small subunit ribosomal RNA", at positions 29 to 507 of the family's 1533-position model. The record is from RNAcentral.
AUGAACGCUAGCGGCAGGCUUAACACAUGCAAGUCGAGGGGCAGCACGGGUAGCAAUACCUGGUGGCGACCGGCGCAAGGGGUGCGUAACGCGUGAGCAACAUGCCCUAUACAGGGGGAUAAUCCAGGGAAACUUGGUCUAAUAUCCCAUAGUAUUUAGAGGAGGCAUCUUCUAUAAAUUAAAGCUUCGGUGGUAUAGGAUUGGCUCGCGUGACAUUAGCUAGAUGGUGAGGUAACGGCUCACCAUGGCAAUGAUGUCUAGGGGUUCUGAGAGGAAGGCCCCCCACACUGGGACUGAGACACGGCCCAGACUCCUACGGGAGGCAGCAGUGAGGAAUAUUGGACAAUGGAUGGAAAUCUGAUCCAGCCAUGCCGCGUGCAGGAAGACGGCCCUAUGGGUUGUAAACUGCUUUUAUAUGGGAGCAAUAAGGUUUACGAGUAGACCGAUGAGAGUACCAUAUGAAUAAGCAUCGGCUAACUCCGUG